GAUGAACGCUGGCGGCGUGCCUAAUACAUGCAAGUCGAGCGAACAGAUGAGGAGCUUGCUCCUCUGACGUUAGCGGCGGACGGGUGAGUAACACGUGGAUAACCUACCUAUAAGACUGGGAUAACUUCGGGAAACCGGAGCUAAUACCGGAUAAUAUAUUGAACCGCAUGGUUCAAUAGUUAAAGACGGUUUUGCUGUCACUUAUAGAUGGAUCCGCUCCGCAUUAGCUAGUUGGUAAGGUAACGGCUUACCAAGGCAACUAUGCGUAGCCGACCUGAGAGGGUGAUCAGCCACACUGGAACUGAGACACGGUCCAGACUCCUACGGGAGGCAGCAGUAGGGAAUCUUCCGCAAUGGGCGAAAGCCUGACGGAGCAACGCCGCGUGAAUGAUGAAGGUCUUCGGAUCGUAAAAUUCUGUUGUUAGGAAAGAAAAAAUGUGUAAGUAAAUAUGCGCGUCUUGACGGUACCUAAUCAGAAAGCAACGGCUAACUACGUG
RNAcentral lists this ribosomal RNA (497 nucleotides) under uncultured bacterium. RNAcentral's name for it is "partial 16S ribosomal RNA". It matches the Rfam family "Bacterial small subunit ribosomal RNA", at positions 28 to 507 of the family's 1533-position model. The record is from RNAcentral.